GCUGGUUUAGCAACCACCGCAACUUUGUCAUGAUUAGCUGAGUUGCUCUUCCCAACGCAACUGCUUUUCUCUUUUUGGAAAGGCUGAAAUGCGCCUCCUCCCCCUCCUCCGUUGCUUCUCUUCACUUCCUUCACCGCCGCUUUUCUCGGUACAUCCUUUUUUUUUUAAUUCAAAAGAAACGGAAAUUUAAAUUUCAGUUCAUCUAUCUACUGAUCAACUAUCUCUUCUUUUUUUCUCAGCAACCAAGCAGUAAGAAUGGUAAUUAUUUACCCCCAGUACUUCUCUAACGGAAGGUGGAUCUGGAGAUUGGUUCCACAAUUGAACAGAUCUGAGCCACUCGGAUUUCUUCUUAUGGUCAUUCAUCUUCUCCUUAUUGAUAUCCUCUUCAUCCGCCUUAUCGUCGUCUCUAGUCCUUUUCAGUGAUGAUCUCUCCUUUUGAAAAUGAUAAUCAUCGUCUUCCUCGUCGUGGUGGUCACUGUUGUUGUUUUCUUGAUCAUCGUCGUCAUGGGGCUUGAUAGGGAUGAAUUCUUCAAGGACAG
Molecule: long non-coding RNA, 539 nt
Filed under: Linum usitatissimum (flax)
Lineage: Eukaryota; Viridiplantae; Streptophyta; Magnoliopsida; Malpighiales; Linaceae
Description: long non-coding RNA (LUSI_LNC004555)
Source: RNAcentral